Poecilia latipinna (sailfin molly) is the source of this 522-nucleotide long non-coding RNA. RefSeq lists it as uncharacterized. The transcript has 2 exons. NCBI's taxonomy places the organism in Eukaryota, Metazoa, Chordata, Actinopteri, Cyprinodontiformes, Poeciliidae. The record is from RefSeq and is a predicted model, not a curated record.
GUUCCAGGGUCAAAGGUCAAAGAGAGGAAAAACAGACUGAUUUAUACAGAUCAACGGCCGGGCCAGGAGAUACAGGUUACUACAGGUAACUACAGGUAACUACAGAAAUAUAUAAGUAACUACAGGUAACUACGGGAAGAUAUAAGUAACUAAAGGGAGAUACAGGUAACUACAGGGAGAUGCAGUUAACUACAAGUAACUACGGGUAACUGCAGGUAGAAGCAGGUAACUAGAGGUAACUGCAAGCAGAUACAGGUAACUAUGUGUAGCAAGCAACAGUAAGGUAAAGGUAACUACAAAUAACUACAGGAAGCUAAAGAUAGCUACAGGUAAGUAUUCACCUUAUUUCUACGCCCCAUGAUGCUUUGCGUGAAUUAUGGGCGCGACUUCUGCAGCAAGCCAGAACUUCCAUUUGUUUACAUGUUACCCUGACGCUAACCAGCUACCCGCACUAGCAUGUAGCUACUUCACUGACUCAGUUGCUUCAGAUGCAGAUGUGGCUUAUCUUGAACUUGCUGCAGC